GGGAAAGACCAGCAACUGUUACAGCAUCCCUGUGCUUUUAUUCCAGCACAGACAUCAGCCUCCCAGUUAAAGAUGUAUACCCCAAUUUGGAGAACCG
Gavialis gangeticus (Gharial) is the source of this 97-nucleotide long non-coding RNA. RefSeq lists it as uncharacterized. The transcript has 3 exons. NCBI's taxonomy places the organism in Eukaryota, Metazoa, Chordata, Crocodylia, Gavialidae. The record is from RefSeq and is a predicted model, not a curated record.